GCAGCCAAGAGCCUCCUGGCACAGCGGCACCAGGCAGGUGGCGCCUAUUGGACCCCAGAGGUCAUCCCAGCUCCAGACGUGGGCACAUUUUCUUCCAAUGAUGUCUACAGAUGAGGAAACUGAGGCCUGGAGAGGUUAAAGAGACCCGUUCAGAGUCCUACAGUGGCAGGUCUUUAUUUUCAUUAAAGAAGCUUAAAUAUUUUGUCAAGUUCAAAAAA
Molecule: small RNA, 218 nt
Filed under: Pan troglodytes (chimpanzee)
Lineage: Eukaryota; Metazoa; Chordata; Mammalia; Primates; Hominidae
Description: processed transcript
Source: RNAcentral